RNAcentral lists this ribosomal RNA (207 nucleotides) under uncultured bacterium. Its description in RNAcentral is "partial 16S ribosomal RNA". It matches the Rfam family "Bacterial small subunit ribosomal RNA", at positions 568 to 774 of the family's 1533-position model. The record is from RNAcentral.
CACGUAGGCGGAUAGUCAAGUCAGGCGUGAAAGCCCCGGGCUCAACCCGGGAACUGCGCUUGAUACUGAUUGUCUUGAGUCCGAGAGAGGGUGGUGGAAUUCCCAGUGUAGAGGUGAAAUUCGUAGAUAUUGGGAAGAACACCAGUGGCGAAGGCGGCCACCUGGCUCGGUACUGACGCUGAGGUGCGAAAGCGUGGGGAGCAAACA